UAAAAACUGCUGACCCAUUGUCCUUGCUUCGGGACAGGUGGUGGGGCAAUUUCCGACUAACUGCCUGAAGCCUGGGUUUUUAGGCCUAAUCUGAACUGCCAACUUGAAGCCUGUCAUGGAGUCAGCCUAUCUCAUCAAAGGAAGGUGACAAAGCCUACGAAGUCAACAGCUGCUCUCUGUUCUGGCCCAUCAGCUCCAAGCACCAUCUCCUGCAUGAACAGGUUUUACCUCUCAAAUGGUUUAAUCCUAUCUGUACAUGUCUAGUGGUUUCAAAUACAUCAUUUCAUGUAAACAUCUAAUAAACUAUACUGGGGGUUUAUGGAUUAAAUUGCAAUGAAGAACAGUGGUGCAUAAUAAAGAGCAGUGUCUAAGGCUAAAA
This 379-nucleotide long non-coding RNA is filed under the name Rattus norvegicus (Norway rat). Its description in RNAcentral is "long non-coding RNA NONRATT017316". Lineage: Eukaryota; Metazoa; Chordata; Mammalia; Rodentia; Muridae. The record is from RNAcentral.